GACGAAGGUCCCAAGCGUUAUCCGGAUUUAUUGGGUUUAAAGGGUGCGUAGGCGGGCUAUUAAGUCAGUGGUGAAAUCUCCGAGCCUAACUCGGAAAUUGCCAUUGAUACUGAUGGUCUUGAGUACAUUUGAAGUGGGCGGAAUGUGUCAUGUAGCGGUGAAAUGCUUAGAUAUGACACAGAACACCGAUUGCGUAGGCAGCUCACUAAACUGUAACUGACGCUGAGGCACGAAAGCGUGGGGAGCAAACAGG
Molecule: ribosomal RNA, 253 nt
Filed under: uncultured bacterium
Lineage: Bacteria
Description: partial 16S ribosomal RNA
Rfam family: Bacterial small subunit ribosomal RNA
Source: RNAcentral